This 253-nucleotide ribosomal RNA is filed under the name uncultured bacterium. RNAcentral's name for it is "partial 16S ribosomal RNA". It matches the Rfam family "Bacterial small subunit ribosomal RNA", at positions 524 to 776 of the family's 1533-position model. The record is from RNAcentral.
UACAGAGGUCUCAAGCGUUGUUCGGAUUCAUUGGGCGUAAAGGGUGCGUAGGCGGCGCCGUAAGUCAGGUGUGAAAUUUCGAGGCUUAACCUCGAAACUGCAUUUGAUACUGCGGUGCUUGAGGACUGGAGAGGAGACUGGAAUUCAUGGUGUAGCAGUGAAAUGCGUAGAGAUCAUGAGGAAGACCAGUGGCGAAGGCGGGUCUCUGGACAGUUCCUGACGCUGAGGCACGAAGGCUAGGGGAGCAAACGGG